Molecule: ribosomal RNA, 253 nt
Filed under: uncultured bacterium
Lineage: Bacteria
Description: partial 16S ribosomal RNA
Rfam family: Bacterial small subunit ribosomal RNA
Source: RNAcentral
UACAGAGGGUGCAAGCGUUAAUCGGAAUUACUGGGCGUAAAGCGUGCGUAGACGGUUACAUAAGUCGGGUGUGAAAGCCCCGGGCUCAACCUGGGAAUUGCAUUCGAGACUGCGUAGCUAGGGUGCGGAAGAGGGAAGCGGAAUUUCCGGUGUAGCGGUGAAAUGCGCAGAUAUCGGGAGGAACACCGGUGGCGAAGGCGGUUCUCUGGGCCUGACCUGACGCUGAGGAGCGAAAGUGUGGGGAGCGAACAGG